Mauremys reevesii (Reeves's turtle) is the source of this 385-nucleotide long non-coding RNA. RefSeq lists it as uncharacterized. The record is from RefSeq and is a predicted model, not a curated record. Lineage: Eukaryota; Metazoa; Chordata; Testudines; Geoemydidae. The transcript has 2 exons.
UCGCGUCCAGAUUAGACGCGAUAGUUCGAACUCCGAGAAGUCGAACUCACCGGGUCGACCUGGCUCGUAAGUGUAGACUAGCCCUUAGACAAAGAUCAUUCUCUUGUGGUGACAAGGGAAGCCAGCACUUUGUACUUUUCCUCAAUCAGGAUCUUCUACAAAAGUCAGCCAUGAAUCGGAAGGAGGAGGACUGGAAGUCUCCAAAAGCCAGCAAAUUGCAGAAAGGGCUUACUGGUGUCUCCUGAAAACAGGGAGCUUCUGAAUUUUGGCCAGUUGAAGAGAUACUGAGAAGUUCUGAAGGGAGUUUCAGCCAGCCCUCCUUUAGAAGGAUGGUGCCACAGUACAUAGAGCCGUAACAGUGAACAUUAAAAUGAUCAGUUCCUCA